CUUGAGCUGUAGAAGUCCAGAAGAAUUUCAGGAACUGGACGUUUCUCAAAAGACUGAAAUGUACGGACAAAAAUUCAACCUGUGCCCAUAGGCUUCCCGCCUGAUUGUGAUCUUCUCUGCCUGACUGCCUGACCUCUGAACUUUGAACUUGCUUGGCCAGCUCCCACAACUGUUUAAACCAUGACUUUCACAGACCAUCAGUAUCCUUCUAACGUAGCUUCCAGAGCGCCAACCAGUGUAAUUGGUACUGUCACUUGGAUGAAGAAGGGUGUCUCUGAAAUGAUUUCUUAGUCCUCAACUGUUCCACAACUGAGUCUCAUCAAUCAACAACCCAUUUUCACCAUAUAUGUCUUUGAUCAAAGUUUAUUUUGGAAUCAGAAGACAAUGGAAGAAAUGGAGUGCGGGAAGACUGAAGAAAAAAAAGUGGAAGGGUAUCUUUACGACUCUGGGUGAAAGGUUUUCAAUCUAAGAUCUGCUCCAUCCAAAUCAGGACGUCAGGAGAAGAGGAACAUUAAACAGGGACACACACACAGAGAGGGACAGGAAAUAUCUGGAUGACAGCCGUUCUGUGGACUGGAAAGCAAGUUGUCCAAUUUGGGACGAGAGGCCUGAGGGUUCCCAGGAAAUACAUGUAUUUUCAAAAAAUGAUAAUAAUAUUAACUAAUAAUGUGUGUGUAU
Camelus dromedarius (Arabian camel) is the source of this 678-nucleotide long non-coding RNA. RefSeq lists it as uncharacterized. The transcript is spliced from 5 exons. The record is from RefSeq and is a predicted model, not a curated record. Lineage: Eukaryota; Metazoa; Chordata; Mammalia; Artiodactyla; Camelidae.